Molecule: transfer RNA, 69 nt
Filed under: Hydrogenophaga sp.
Lineage: Bacteria; Pseudomonadati; Pseudomonadota; Betaproteobacteria; Burkholderiales; Comamonadaceae
Description: tRNA-Asn
Rfam family: tRNA (bases 2-63)
About the family: Transfer RNA (tRNA) molecules are approximately 80 nucleotides in length. Their secondary structure includes four short double-helical elements and three loops (D, anti-codon, and T loops). Further hydrogen bonds mediate the characteristic L-shaped molecular structure. tRNAs have two regions of fundamental functional importance: the anti-codon, which is responsible for specific mRNA codon recognition, and the 3' end, to which the tRNAs corresponding amino acid is attached (by aminoacyl-tRNA synthetases). tRNAs cope with the degeneracy of the genetic code in two manners: having more than one tRNA (with a specific anti-codon) for a particular amino acid; and 'wobble' base-pairing, i.e. permitting non-standard base-pairing at the 3rd anti-codon position.
Source: RNAcentral
UCCCGAAAAGUCCAAACUAUCGGACUGUUAAUCCGCAGGUCCCUGGUUCGAGUCCAGGUCGGGGAGCCA